RNAcentral lists this ribosomal RNA (1440 nucleotides) under Klebsiella pneumoniae. Its description in RNAcentral is "bacterial SSU rRNA". It matches the Rfam family "Bacterial small subunit ribosomal RNA". Lineage: Bacteria; Pseudomonadati; Pseudomonadota; Gammaproteobacteria; Enterobacterales; Enterobacteriaceae. The record is from RNAcentral.
CGGUUGGGGAGCCUACCAUGCAAGUCGAGCGGUAGCACAGAGAGCUUGCUCUCGGGUGACGAGCGGCGGACGGGUGAGUAAUGUCUGGGAAACUGCCUGAUGGAGGGGGAUAACUACUGGAAACGGUAGCUAAUACCGCAUAACGUCGCAAGACCAAAGUGGGGGACCUUCGGGCCUCAUGCCAUCAGAUGUGCCCAGAUGGGAUUAGCUGGUAGGUGGGGUAACGGCUCACCUAGGCGACGAUCCCUAGCUGGUCUGAGAGGAUGACCAGCCACACUGGAACUGAGACACGGUCCAGACUCCUACGGGAGGCAGCAGUGGGGAAUAUUGCACAAUGGGCGCAAGCCUGAUGCAGCCAUGCCGCGUGUGUGAAGAAGGCCUUCGGGUUGUAAAGCACUUUCAGCGGGGAGGAAGGCGGUGAGGUUAAUAACCUUGUCGAUUGACGUUACCCGCAGAAGAAGCACCGGCUAACUCCGUGCCAGCAGCCGCGGUAAUACGGAGGGUGCAAGCGUUAAUCGGAAUUACUGGGCGUAAAGCGCACGCAGGCGGUCUGUCAAGUCGGAUGUGAAAUCCCCGGGCUCAACCUGGGAACUGCAUUCGAAACUGGCAGGCUAGAGUCUUGUAGAGGGGGGUAGAAUUCCAGGUGUAGCGGUGAAAUGCGUAGAGAUCUGGAGGAAUACCGGUGGCGAAGGCGGCCCCCUGGACAAAGACUGACGCUCAGGUGCGAAAGCGUGGGGAGCAAACAGGAUUAGAUACCCUGGUAGUCCACGCUGUAAACGAUGUCGAUUUGGAGGUUGUGCCCUUGAGGCGUGGCUUCCGGAGCUAACGCGUUAAAUCGACCGCCUGGGGAGUACGGCCGCAAGGUUAAAACUCAAAUGAAUUGACGGGGGCCCGCACAAGCGGUGGAGCAUGUGGUUUAAUUCGAUGCAACGCGAAGAACCUUACCUGGUCUUGACAUCCACAGAACUUAGCAGAGAUGCUUUGGUGCCUUCGGGAACUGUGAGACAGGUGCUGCAUGGCUGUCGUCAGCUCGUGUUGUGAAAUGUUGGGUUAAGUCCCGCAACGAGCGCAACCCUUAUCCUUUGUUGCCAGCGGUUAGGCCGGGAACUCAAAGGAGACUGCCAGUGAUAAACUGGAGGAAGGUGGGGAUGACGUCAAGUCAUCAUGGCCCUUACGACCAGGGCUACACACGUGCUACAAUGGCAUAUACAAAGAGAAGCGACCUCGCGAGAGCAAGCGGACCUCAUAAAGUAUGUCGUAGUCCGGAUUGGAGUCUGCAACUCGACUCCAUGAAGUCGGAAUCGCUAGUAAUCGUAGAUCAGAAUGCUACGGUGAAUACGUUCCCGGGCCUUGUACACACCGCCCGUCACACCAUGGGAGUGGGUUGCAAAAGAAGUAGGUAGCUUAACCUUCGGGAGGGCGCUACCACUUUGGAUCCGG